Molecule: long non-coding RNA, 3970 nt
Organism: Lutra lutra (Eurasian river otter)
Lineage: Eukaryota; Metazoa; Chordata; Mammalia; Carnivora; Mustelidae
Exons: 3
Source: RefSeq, a predicted model, not a curated record
UCCGCCGGCCCGGGAGUCGACGGCGCAAGACUUCCCGCUGACAAGGUGCUUGACUUGGCUCUCCACCCCGUCCCCGAAGUCCCUGAGCGCCCAGAGACGCCCAACCGGCGGCUAGAGAGCACUGGGCGGUGGCCAAACCACCUCCAAAAUUUUGGGCCACACGUGGGAUGGUAUUCGGGAAUCAGAGAGGUCACUACUCUACACAAAUGCACACCUGGUCACAGGGGACCUGACAAAGUGUGACCUGCACUGGCCCCACCUCAGGGCAGUCGCCCUCGCAUCCCCAGACCAGACUGGGCUUGGAGCAAUGUCCUGCAUGGUGGGCCCGAGUGAGCGGGCGUGGCCUCCUGAGGCCUCCAGACGGCGCAGACUGUCUUUUGUUUGGGCACAGAUUUGGGAAUGCUGCAGCCCGGGCUGGAAGAGGGUCUGGAAUACCUUCCCGUUCCUCAUGUGUCUGCAUCUCGAAGGCCUCCCCAGCACUCACUGGUGGUUAUUUCAAGUGCACCUGUUCCUGAAACAGCUUGAGAAUCCCACGGACUUGUCGUUAGGACGCAGGUGCAUCUUCAUUACCAAGUUUAGUUCUCCAGGUACUACGUAUCUGGUGUUCUUGUUUGCUCUCGGCUCCUCCUCUUUUCAGGAAACCGUUCAGCGUUCGCUGAGGGUCUAGGCCUGUGUGGGACACACCGACGGGAUGCGACGGAGUUUUUCUGCAAAGUACAUACUUGCAUUGUGGCUACUAGAUUGCAGAACUCUGUCCGGUGCCAAAACUGUAGAGCACAGGCAAUGGCUUUGGUUCUAAUACGUGGCCUGCAGAUCUAGAGGAGUCCGAAUCUUCAAGGAAGGAGGAGUGUUUGUUGGUUGGUUUUACGAUUUAUCUAUUUAUUUUAGAGAGGGGGGCAUGUGCACGCGCUUGUGGGAGUGGGGGCGGGUUGAGGGAGAGAAACUCAAGCAGACUCCCUGCUGAGCCACCCAGGUGGGCGGGGCCCCGAGGAGGCGGGGUUUGGAGGUAGGUCUUCAAGGACACCGGGAGCUGGAUAGUGACGUGGGGGACCAAGGCAGAAGGAAAUAUAGAUAAACUUUAAUGUCCUUAUAACCUGCAGCCCAUUGAGAAGUGCUGGAGAUAGGCUCAUUAUAACCUUCCUCCGGAUUCUGAGGCUUUAACAUGGGAAAGUCCUCUUGGAACUUCCCCUUAUCUUCACUUUUCCUAGCCCCAAAGUGUAUAAUCACUUGCUCUUCACAAUCCCAGGGCUGCAGGGAUCCCACAGCCACAGAAGCUCCUUCUGCCCCCCAUGCCCUGUCCCCGCACUCUGUCCCUGCUCCCUGUCCCCGCGCUUUCAUAAAACCACCGUUUUGCAUCAAAGAUGUCUCGAGAAUUCUUUCUCGGCUCUCAGCUCCGGACUGCACCAACUUUACAAAACUGUGUGCGUAGUUGACCUUGGCAGGAGACAGGUUCCCUGGGAGAGUGAGAGGCCGUGCUUGCCUGUGGGGGAGAAUUCCUGUUUGGGGUCGGAGUGGUAGGGUGGCGGCAAGUUAUGGGGGACUUUGGCAACUGAACACCUCUUGAGGGGCGCCUGGGUGGCUCCGUGGGUUAAAGCCUCUGCCUUCGGCUCAGGUCAUGGUCUCAGGGUCCUGGGAUCGAGCCCUGCAUUGGGCUGUCUGCUCAGCAGGGAGCCUGCUUCCUCCUCUCACUCUGCCAGAGAUCUUGUGAUCUCUGUCAAAUAAAUAAAUAAAAUCUUUUUUAAAAAAAACACCUCUUUAGAUAUGGCAAAGAGAGGAAAGAGCACCUGUGUCUCUUAAGCCCCGUCUAGCCUAAUGACAGCUCCCUACCGCAAGAACCUGUGUGAGGAUAAUAAGAUCCACGGAACUGGGGUUCUGGGGGUUUCUCGCGAGAAGCAAUCUAUCUAUUAAGUGUCGACUUAGGUCUCCAUUUUUGUCCUCAGUCCGGAGGAAUCGUGAGCAGAGCUGAGGCUGUAUCAUGUUUUACUCUUUCCCUGGGGAGAAGAAAAUGCUGACCUCCCGACCCUGGGGAUGUCUGACAUUGACCUUUCUUUUAUGGCCGUGUUUCCUCCACAAAUCAGGAAGCUGCUGCAUUUUCCCUUUCAAGAACACAUUGCUGGGGCAUCUGGGUGGCUCAGUGGGCUAAGCCUCUGCCUUCAGCUUGGGUCAUGAUCUCAGGGUCCUGGGAUCGAGCCCCACAUCGGGCUCUCAGCUGGGUGGGGAGCCUGCUUCCCUCUCUCUAUCUGCGUGCCUCUCUGCCUACUUGUGAUCUCUCUCUCUCUCUGCGUCAAAUAAAUAAAUAAAAUCUUAAAAAAGAACAAAAACACAUCGCCAUGACUGAACACCUAGGCAUCCGUUCCAUACACGCUGACAUCCCCCGUCAUGCGUGCUAUAGUAAUAAGCCGCAACAGAUCAAUGGGGAAGUGUAAUCUGGUCUUGUGGACCUGAAAAUCAAAUCAAAAUACAAGGAGAGCAGGCCAGGGGUCGGCAAACUCUGUAAAAGACCAGACAGUAAAUACUUUAGGCUCUGGGGUCAUUCAUCUCUGUCAUCGGAGGGUGAAAAGCAGCCAUAUAUUUUUUUUAUAUACGUUGAGUGUGGCCUUCCUUAUCAGUAUCAUUUUCACAUAAUUCAGUAUACGUUUCUUUUUAAGAUCUUAUUUAUUUGUUUAUUUGAGAGUGCGCAUAAGCGAGGGGAGCUGCAGAGGGAGAGGGAGAAGCAGACUCCCCGCUGAGCAGGGAGCCCAACACGGGGCUCGAACCCAGGACCCUGGGAUCAUGACCUGAGCGAAAGGCAGACGCUCAACGGACUGAGCCACCAAGGCGCCCCUUGGUACACAUUUCAUACAAUGGUCAAGUGUCAUGAAGCACCCUCCUUUUGAUUUUUGUUCAACCAUUUAGCAAUGUAUAAACCAUACUUAGCUCCCAGGUCCCAUGGAAACCAGUGGCAGAGCAGAGGGGGGGCCAUGGGCUGUAGUGGAUGUGUUGAGUCCUAAAAGGACUGUUAUAGAUGGAGGCCCAGAAUGCAGGGAAACAGGGUGGGCAGAGGUCAGCCAUUUCUGCAGGACCCGGCCGGGUUCAGGGGAUGCUUCCUGGACGAGGGGAAUUGCACACGGGUUUUGAAGGUUAAGUACUUGUUUGCCAAGAGGUCUGUUGAAGGGGGUGGGAAGCGGAGCUGAGUUCCAGGCUACUUGAUCAAAGGCACAAAGGCAAGCGGACCUGGAUGGAGGGUGUGGCGUGUUUGGAACUGGGCGGGUUUGGCCUGGCUCCAGCAUGGGAGCAGGGAGCCUUGGAAUGGUUGGAAGUGGGCAGGGAACUUGAGCCAUGUUUUGCAAAAGCCCUUUAUUGCGGUGCCAGAGUGGAUUUUAUUCUCAGGAAUUGGAAGUCUUACAAGUUUCUCAGUGGAAGUGAUUCAAAGCUGCAGAUAUGGAGGCCUGGUUUGAGAAGGGGCGUGGGAAUACUUAGUGGGAGGCUGGGCUGGCAGGUAGGAACUGGCCUGAGGGUUUGUCCCCACAGGGGGUUGUGGGCUCUGCCAGCAACCAGAAGAGAGGUUUCUUCAGGUGGAGUCCAGGGAGGGAAGCCAAAAGCUCGGAGCCAGGUACAGUCUGCAGGGCACAGAGUGUGGCAGGACCUGGCACAGCACUCUGAGGACUGAGAGCAGGAGAUGGGGCUGGGAGAGGUUUGCAUGUGGAGGGGAGAUGGGGGGGGUGCCGGUGGAGGGGAUAGCUGCUUCCCCAGCACCUGUAAGGGCCAGGUGGGGUCUUGGAAAAAGACGGCAUUUUUUAUUAUAAAAAUGACACUGAAUCAUUGUAAAAACCUAAGACAGAGAUAGAGAUAUGGCCCCAUGCCUGGGGGGACUUACCAUGCAGGAUUUGGUGUGUGUCCUUCUGACUCUCUGUUCUCUGCCUGUGCAAAUAUACAUAUCACGUCUUUUCAAAUAAAAAAUGGAAAGCAUACAUAUUUUCAUGCAAUGUAC